RNAcentral lists this ribosomal RNA (468 nucleotides) under uncultured bacterium. RNAcentral describes it as "partial 16S ribosomal RNA". It matches the Rfam family "Bacterial small subunit ribosomal RNA", at positions 28 to 507 of the family's 1533-position model. The record is from RNAcentral.
GACGAACGCUGGCGGCGUGCUUAACACAUGCAAGUCGAACGGAAAGGCCCUGCUUUUGUGGGGUGCUCGAGUGGCGAACGGGUGAGUAACACGUGAGUAACCUGCCCUUGACUUUGGGAUAACUUCAGGAAACUGGGGCUAAUACCGGAUAGGAGCUCCUGCUGCAUGGUGGGGGUUGGAAAGUUUCGGCGGUUGGGGAUGGACUCGCGGCUUAUCAGCUUGUUGGUGGGGUAGUGGCUUACCAAGGCUGUGACGGGUAGCCGGCCUGAGAGGGUGACCGGCCACAUGGGGACUGAGAUACGGCCCAGACUCGUACGGGAGGCAGCAGUGGGGAAUAUGGCACAAUGGGCGGGAGCCUGAUGCAGCAACGCCGCGUGCGGGAUGACGGCCUUCGGGUUGUAAACCGCUUUCGCCUGUGACGAAGCGUGAGUGACGGUAAUGGGUAAAGAAGCACCGGCUAACUACGUG